Molecule: ribosomal RNA, 606 nt
Filed under: Triticum aestivum (bread wheat)
Lineage: Eukaryota; Viridiplantae; Streptophyta; Magnoliopsida; Poales; Poaceae
Description: partial small subunit ribosomal RNA
Source: RNAcentral
AUGGCGGAAAACAGGAGUUCUCAGCGGAGGCAGGGGAAGGAACUUGCUGAAGAAUUGCUUGCCCGGCUCACACUACAGGAGGAAGAAGAGGACGAAUUCAUAUGGGAGGAGGAGCUGAUGGAUAUGGUAGAACCAGCGAAGUGGUUAGCAAUUGCCAGAGUCCAUACACCAAAGACUUUCAGCCCUAAUGCGCUGUAUAAUGACAUGUGUGCGGCAUGGAACCCUGCCAAACAGGUGGUAUGGAGGAAGAUCAAAACUAAUUUGUUCACAACGCAGUUUGGGUGCCUGGGUGAUUGGACUAAGGCGAUGGUUGAAGGGCCGUGGUUAUUCAGGGAGCAGGCUGUGAUCAUGGAGGCAUAUGACGGGUUUAAAAACCCUGAUACUUUUGAGCUAGACAAGCUCUCUGUGUGGGCACAAAUCCAUCGGUUGCCGGAUAAGUUCUUGAUUGAGCAUGCUGUAAAGGGUUUGGCAUCUAGAAUUGGAGAAGUAGAAGAAGUACAGCUGAAGCUACUGGCGGGUUUCUUUGGUGAAUUUGUGAGGGUUAAAGUCAAAAUAGAUAUUAAUUCUAAGAUAAAACAGUUUGUUACUGCAAAGAAGGGAGAAUAA